RNAcentral lists this microRNA (26 nucleotides) under Tribolium castaneum (red flour beetle). Its description in RNAcentral is "tca-miR-11633-5p". Lineage: Eukaryota; Metazoa; Arthropoda; Insecta; Coleoptera; Tenebrionidae. The record is from miRBase by way of RNAcentral.
UUUCGGCCGGAGACUUCAACGCUCGC